UACAGGGGGUGCAAACGUUGCUCGGAAUCAUUGGGCGUAAAGCGCACGUAGGCGGUCUGUUAUGUCGGAUGUGAAAGCCCUUGGCUCAACUGAGGAAGUGCAUCCGAAACUGGCAGGCUAGAGUACUAAAGAGGAUCGCGGAAUUCCCGGUGUAGAGGUGAAAUUCGUAGAUAUCAGGAGGAACACCGGUGGCGAAGGCGGUUCUCUGGGCAUGACCUGACGCUGAGGAGCGAAAGUGUGGGGAGCGAACAGG
RNAcentral lists this ribosomal RNA (253 nucleotides) under uncultured bacterium. RNAcentral describes it as "partial 16S ribosomal RNA". It matches the Rfam family "Bacterial small subunit ribosomal RNA", at positions 524 to 776 of the family's 1533-position model. The record is from RNAcentral.